GAUCCUGGCUCAGGAUGAACGCUAGCGGGAGGCCUAACACAUGCAAGCCGAGCGGUAGAGAUUCUUCGGAAUCUUGAGAGCGGCGUACGGGUGCGGAACACGUGUGCAACCUGCCUUUAUCAAGGGGAUAGCCUUUCGAAAGGAAGAUUAAUACCCUAUAAUAUAUUGACUGGCAUCAGUUAAUAUUGAAAACUACGGUGGAUAAAGAUGGGCACGCGCAAGAUUAGCUAGUUGGUGAGGUAACGG
RNAcentral lists this ribosomal RNA (246 nucleotides) under uncultured bacterium. RNAcentral's name for it is "partial 16S ribosomal RNA". It matches the Rfam family "Bacterial small subunit ribosomal RNA", at positions 15 to 263 of the family's 1533-position model. The record is from RNAcentral.